Molecule: long non-coding RNA, 2306 nt
Organism: Oreochromis aureus
Lineage: Eukaryota; Metazoa; Chordata; Actinopteri; Cichliformes; Cichlidae
Exons: 5
Source: RefSeq, a predicted model, not a curated record
UUUCUACAGCGGUCUGCGAACAGUAUGGGAAGCAUGCUUCUCAGCGUUGGGCAAGCGAACAGCGGCAUGGUCGUGUUUAAUUUGGCUAUGAAGUUUUAUUCAUGCAUAUGUUGUAGUUAUUAUUAUUGCAGCUGACUGCAAGUGCAUAUAUGAUGGGAAGGUGUGAAGUUAGAGCACUGAAAGCAAUGACUGCGCGUUUGAGCAGCGGAAUUGACUAGGCCGCAUGAGCAAAGAAAACGAAGGAUGGUGAUUACUCGGGUGGAUGUUUUCUGCACCUCACCACGUGGACAGGGUGGUGUCAUACAGUCACAUGGAGGACGGCCAGCAGCGAGGGGUCUUCGGUGUGAAUGGAUGUUCAGGAUAAUGGCACAUAAUCGACAUCUGUGGGUGGACAGCAGAAGAAUUUCAUUGCACAGAGAAAUGCCUUUUCUCUUGUGACACAUGACCAUGAACACUUUGAAUCUUGAAUCUUUAAAAAGAAUAAAGCAUUUUUCUACAAACCAACAGUGUUGUUUUUCUUAUUUUUAACUUCUUUCUGGGCACUCCUCUGAACCUGGCUGGCCUCUUCCGUGGCCACUCAAAGGUCGAGAGCAGUGCGAGAUCAAGUCAUGUCUUGUCAUAACUGGGGUUUCUUGGCUUUUAUUUCACCAAGUCUCUCUUUUAAAGCUAGACACAGACUCGAGAUGAAGUUCAUGAAUAGUGUUCUCAAAGUGCAAAAGCUGCACAUCUGACGGAGUUUAACACCCGUCUGUGGUGUCAGCACAUCUGUUAACAUUAACACUUAAUUUGACAGCACAAGUCGGAUGUUCAAAAAAAAAAAAAAAUACAGCCUGUUAAAUACUGGAUAUUUUUGUCUAGCAAAUCUACAUCCACACACACUAUUUUUAGAUUGUGAAGUGUUGUCUUUCAUACUGCACGUCCUUGAUUCUCUUGAUUCUCCCCCCAGAUGAGAGCAGACGAGGCUAGGAAAAACUGGUUAACAAAAAUAAGAUGCUACUUGUGACAUGGGACAGCGGCAUCGUGUCAUAAGUGGCUGUUAUAGCCACUAUAUUUAUUUAUAAUUGGAAAUGCUAAAGUGCAGAAAGUUCAUUUGUUGAAUAUCUUCAAGUCCAACUCUCAGCAGGCUUCAUAUCAUCCGGUGAUGUGCCACCACUGCUUCAUGUGUAUAAACACUUCCACAAACGACACCCAUGCAACGUCUCUCCCCACAGAUUUGUUUCAGGAGUUGAAACAACUCUCAGCAGGUCAAACUGCUAUCAGUUUCCAGGUCACGAGUGGGAACACAGAGACCAGUCCAGCCUUGCAUUGUCUAAUUUUGUGGGUUGUAGCCUGUGGAUUGUGCUUAGCUAACAUGAGUGGCACCCUGUGUGGUCUUCUGCUGCAGUAGCCCAUCUGCUUCAAGAUGAUUGUGCGGGAAAAUCCCAGCAGAUACCAGCCCAUCUGGCAUCAACAACCACGCCAAGUCACUUCAAACACCUUUCUUCUCCAUUCUGGCGUAUCUCAUCCUUGAUACGCCUCAACUCACCGAGUUGGCGCCUUGUGAUUGAACAGGCGUACCUUAUGAAGCGAAACAGCAUAUAAAUGCAUGUCUUCUGACGAGAAUCUGGCUCCGUCUUCUUAUUCCUCAUCUUAUCUGUCAGAACAGCAAAUCCAUACAUAUUCUUUCCGAGCAAAAAGAUUUUAUUGAUCCACAAUGAUCAGAAACGUAACAUUCUGCAACAUCACUGAACACAACAGCAAUGUUUGAUAUUGUCAUCACUUGUGCAAAUAAACAACACCGAGACGUGAAAAACCAAAAUGGGAAUGUCUUAACAGACACAGUAAUGGCACAAAGACGUUUUUUUUUUCCCCUUUAUCUAUUCUCAACUGAUGCAAGAAACAUGGCGGCUCACUAUGGAGGAAUGUUUAAUUUACUUUAAAGGCACUUUCUGCCUCAUACACUUGCCAACACACACGUCUGAACUUAAAACAUAUAAAGUAAAAGUCACCUGUAAAGCAGGGUGUCUUGGCAGAUUACAAAGAUCCUGUAGUUCUAGUGUAUGUCAUGUUUUUCUUUAAUGUGUACAACAGUAGACAGCAUUUAAAAAAAAGGAAAUCAAUAAAUAAUUCAACAGAAACGGAGCAUUCAUUAGCUGGAUGUCUGCUGAGAGCAUUAAAUAAUAUGGCUAAUAUCCAGUAUGUUAUUGAUUUAAAAUAAAACAGCAAGAGUGGACGUCCCCGCUCUUUAAACUACACAUUUCUGAGUUUGUGUUUCCAUUUAAACUAAAAGUGUUUCAGUCUCCUGCUCAUUAAAAUCACUCCCUGCA